UAGGGAAUCUUCCGCAAUGGGCGAAAGCCUGACGGAGCAACGCCGCGUGAGUGAUGAAGGUCUUCGGAUCGUAAAACUCUGUCAUUAGGGAAGAACAAAUGUGUAAGUAACUAUGCACGUCUUGACGGUACCUAAUCAGAAAGCCACGGCUAACUACGUGCCAGCAGCCGCGGUAAUACGUAGGUGGCAAGCGUUAUCCGGAAUUAUUGGGCGUAAAGCGCGCGUAGGCGGUUUUUUAAGUCUGAUGUGAAAGCCCACGGCUCAACCGUGGAGAAUCAUUGGAAAGUGGAAAACUUGAGUGCAGAAGAGGAAAGUGGAAUUCCAUGUGUAGCGGUGGAAUGAGCAGAGAUAUGGAGGAACACCAGUGGCGAAGGCGACUUUCUGGGCUGUAACUGACGCUGAUGUGCGAAGGAGUGGGGAUCAAACAGG
This 429-nucleotide ribosomal RNA is filed under the name Actinomycetes bacterium. Its description in RNAcentral is "Actinobacteria bacterium partial 16S ribosomal RNA". It matches the Rfam family "Bacterial small subunit ribosomal RNA", at positions 355 to 776 of the family's 1533-position model. Lineage: Bacteria; Bacillati; Actinomycetota; Actinomycetes. The record is from RNAcentral.